This 740-nucleotide ribosomal RNA is filed under the name Staphylococcus epidermidis. RNAcentral describes it as "bacterial SSU rRNA". It matches the Rfam family "Bacterial small subunit ribosomal RNA", at positions 17 to 736 of the family's 1533-position model. Lineage: Bacteria; Bacillati; Bacillota; Bacilli; Caryophanales; Staphylococcaceae. The record is from RNAcentral.
UCCUGGCUCAGGAUGAACGCUGGCGGCGUGCCUAAUACAUGCAAGUCGAGCGAACAGUCGAGGAGCUUGCUCCUCUGACGUUAGCGGCGGACGGGUGAGUAACACGUGGAUAACCUACCUAUAAGACUGGGAUAACUUCGGGAAACCGGAGCUAAUACCGGAUAAUAUAUUGAACCGCAUGGUUCAAUAGUGAAAGACGGUUUUGCUGUCACUUAUAGAUGGAUCCGCGCCGCAUUAGCUAGUUGGUAAGGUAACGGCUUACCAAGGCAACGAUGCGUAGCCGACCUGAGAGGGUGAUCGGCCACACUGGAACUGAGACACGGUCCAGACUCCUACGGGAGGCAGCAGUAGGGAAUCUUCCGCAAUGGGCGAAAGCCUGACGGAGCAACGCCGCGUGAGUGAUGAAGGUCUUCGGAUCGUAAAACUCUGUUAUUAGGGAAGAACAAAUGUGUAAGUAACUAUGCACGUCUUGACGGUACCUAAUCAGAAAGCCACGGCUAACUACGUGCCAGCAGCCGCGGUAAUACGUAGGUGGCAAGCGUUAUCCGGAAUUAUUGGGCGUAAAGCGCGCGUAGGCGGUUUUUUAAGUCUGAUGUGAAAGCCCACGGCUCAACCGUGGAGGGUCAUUGGAAACUGGAAAACUUGAGUGCAGAAGAGGAAAGUGGAAUUCCCAUGUGUAGCGGUGAAAUGCGCAGAGAUAUGGAGGAACCACCCAGUGGCGAAGGCGACUUUCUGGUCUG